AUGGGGACUAGCCCGGGUGGAUCGACGUCACCUGUAACCUGAAACCGCCGGUACGCAGGGGGCGAAGUUCGAGGAAGGCUUACACGUACUGCCCGAAUUCUCCAUGCUUUCAACGAAGAAACCCUGUCCUGUGAGGUCGAUGGCCAGCAAUCCAACCUUCGGAGGAAGGAACGACCUGUUGUCGCGGGGAUCGGUCCAGGCCCGGAAGGGAGCAGACUUACCGUGAACGUUCGGCGCCCAUGGGGUUGCGGGGCGGAGGAGAAGGCUUGAGACCAGGGUUGCAACGGUCUGUCGACCGAGAACGUGUCCCUAU
Molecule: signal recognition particle RNA, 313 nt
Filed under: Methanospirillum lacunae
Lineage: Archaea; Methanobacteriati; Methanobacteriota; Methanomicrobia; Methanomicrobiales; Methanospirillaceae
Description: Archaeal signal recognition particle RNA
Rfam family: Archaeal signal recognition particle RNA
Source: Rfam by way of RNAcentral